This 700-nucleotide ribosomal RNA is filed under the name uncultured bacterium. RNAcentral's name for it is "bacterial SSU rRNA". It matches the Rfam family "Bacterial small subunit ribosomal RNA", at positions 47 to 735 of the family's 1533-position model. The record is from RNAcentral.
UUUUAAGCAUGCAAGUCGAACGGUAGAGGGGUGCUUGCACCUCUUGAGAGUGGCGAACGGGUGAGUAACGCGUAGAUGAUCUACCAUUUGGUUGGGGAUAGCUCAUGGAAACAUGGGGUAAUACCGAAUAAGAUCUUGUUGCUGUGGCGAUGAGAUGAAAGGGGCUUCGGCCUCGCCGAGUGAUGAGUCUGCGUAUGAUUAGCUAGUUGGUGUGGUAAAGGCGCACCAAGGCGACGAUCAUUAGCCGGCCUGAGAGGGUGACCGGCCACAUUGGGACUGAGACACGGCCCAGACUCCUACGGGAGGCAGCAGCUAAGAAUCUUCCGCAAUGGGCGCAAGCCUGACGGAGCGACGCCGCGUGGGCGAAGAAGGCCGAGAGGUUGUAAAGCCCUUUUCUCACAGAAGAAUAAGUUUUUGAGGUAAUGCGAGAGCGAUGACGUUAUGUGAGGAAUAAGCACCGGCCAAUUACGUGCCAGCAGCCGCGGUAACACGUAAGGUGCGAGCGUUGUUCGGAAUUAUUGGGCGUAAAGGGCUCGUAGGUGGCCUGCCAAGUCCCACGUGAAAGACCAGGGCUCAACCCUGGGUCCGCGAGGGAAACUGGCAAGCUGGAAUCUUGGAGGGGGUACUGGAAUUCCUGGUGUAGGGGUGAAAUCUGUUGAUAUCAGGAAGAACACCGGAGGCGAAGGCGAGUAUCUGGCCA